UUACGUAAGUGUAUUUAAAGUUAUACAAAUCAUGUAAAGUAACAUAGAUUCAUACAGAGUUUCACGAAACACAGGCAAGAUGUUCCAUACAUUCACUGCUGUCUUUGUCUUAGUGUUUAUAAGUGUUUCCAUGGCAAGUAAUUGCAAACAAUGUACAGCCGAAGGGAAGCAACGUACUGGAAAUUCAAGUUUUCUUUUUCAAGACGGCUGUUGGGAAUAUAGUUGCUUUUGUAACUGCGAUGGUAGUUGGAAUUGCCCUACUGAGGAUGCAAAGGAAAUCUGUUGGGGUGGACACUUGUUUUCUACAUGCGGACAUUGUCAAGUAAAAGGAUUUAUGUACAGGGGAAACAGUCAAUUUACAUAUAUUGAUGACUGUGACCGUUUUUUCUGUACAUGCAAUUGUGAUGGAAGUUGGAGUUGUCCGUCUAAACAGAAAUACUGUCUUAGCUACAAUGGUUAAAUGACUUUUUUUUAAUUUGAUCUUUUUUGUUUUGCCUUAAUCAAAGUAUUAAAAGCUUACAGAGCCAGGAACCUGUACUUUAUUUGUUUCCGUGCGUAGCGCGGUAUAUUAAAUUUGGUUUAUA
Mytilus trossulus (common blue mussel) is the source of this 584-nucleotide long non-coding RNA. RefSeq lists it as uncharacterized. The record is from RefSeq and is a predicted model, not a curated record. The transcript has 2 exons. NCBI's taxonomy places the organism in Eukaryota, Metazoa, Mollusca, Bivalvia, Mytilida, Mytilidae.